Molecule: transfer RNA, 73 nt
Filed under: Felis catus (domestic cat)
Lineage: Eukaryota; Metazoa; Chordata; Mammalia; Carnivora; Felidae
Also listed under: 2 other names
Rfam family: tRNA
About the family: Transfer RNA (tRNA) molecules are approximately 80 nucleotides in length. Their secondary structure includes four short double-helical elements and three loops (D, anti-codon, and T loops).
Source: Rfam by way of RNAcentral
GCAUGGCUGGCUCAGCUGGUAGAGUAUGUGACUCUUGAUCUUGGGGUUGUGAGUUCAAACCCCACACUGGGCA